UCGGGAAUUUUGGGCAAUGGGGGAAACCCUGACCCAGCAACGCCGCGUGAAGGAUGAAGUAUUUCGGUAUGUAAACUUCGAAAGAAUAGGAAGAAUAAAUGACGGUACUAUUUAUAAGGUCCGGCUAACUACGUGCCAGCAGCCGCGGUAAUACGUAGGGACCAAGCGUUGUUCGGAUUUACUGGGCGUAAAGGGCGCGUAGGCGGCAUGACAAGUCACUUGUGAAAUCUCUGGGCUUAACCCAGAACGGCCAAGUGAUACUGUCGCGCUAGAGUGCAGAAGGGGCAAUCGGAAUUCUUGGUGUAGCGGUGAAAUGCGUAGAUAUCAAGAGGAACACCUGAGGUGAAGACGGGUUGCUGGGCUGACACUGACGCUGAGGCGCGAAAGCCAGGGGAGCAAACGCGAUUAGAUACCCUCGUAGUCCCUGAGCGGGCUGGCAAGGCGCAU
RNAcentral lists this ribosomal RNA (447 nucleotides) under uncultured bacterium. Its description in RNAcentral is "bacterial SSU rRNA". It matches the Rfam family "Bacterial small subunit ribosomal RNA", at positions 355 to 825 of the family's 1533-position model. The record is from RNAcentral.